UACGUAGGUGGCAAGCGUUGUCCGGAAUUACUGGGCGUAAAGGGCUCGUAGGUGGCCAACUAAGUCUGACGUGAAAUCCCUCGGCUUAACCGGGGAACUGCGUCUGAUACUGGAUGGCUUGAGAUUGGGAGAGGGGUGCGGAAUUCCAGGUGUAGCGGUGAAAUGCGUAGAUAUCUGGAGGAACACCGGUGGCGAAGGCGGCAUCCUGGACCAACACUGACACUGAGGAGCGAAAGCCAGGGGAGCAAACGGG
This 253-nucleotide ribosomal RNA is filed under the name uncultured bacterium. RNAcentral's name for it is "partial 16S ribosomal RNA". It matches the Rfam family "Bacterial small subunit ribosomal RNA", at positions 524 to 776 of the family's 1533-position model. The record is from RNAcentral.